This 301-nucleotide ribosomal RNA is filed under the name uncultured bacterium. RNAcentral describes it as "partial 16S ribosomal RNA". It matches the Rfam family "Bacterial small subunit ribosomal RNA", at positions 509 to 809 of the family's 1533-position model. The record is from RNAcentral.
CAGCCGCCGCGGGAAUACGAAGGGGGCUAGCGUUGUUCGGAUUAACUGGGCGUAAAGGGCGCGUAGGCGGGUUUUUAAGUCAGAGGUGAAAUCCCAAGGCUCAACCUUGGAACUGCCUUUGAUACUGGAAGUCUUGAGUCCGGGAGAGGUGAGUGGAACUGCGAGUGUAGAGGUGAAAUUCGUAGAUGUUCGCAAGAACACCAGUGGCGAAGGCGGCUCACUGGCCCGGUACUGACGCUGAGGCGCGAAAGCGUGGGGAGCAAACAGGAUUAGAUACCCCAGUAGCCCUGUCUCUUAUACA